RNAcentral lists this ribosomal RNA (459 nucleotides) under uncultured bacterium. Its description in RNAcentral is "partial 16S ribosomal RNA". It matches the Rfam family "Bacterial small subunit ribosomal RNA", at positions 338 to 795 of the family's 1533-position model. The record is from RNAcentral.
CCUACGGGAGGCAGCAGUGAGGAAUAUUGGUCAAUGGGCGCGAGCCUGAACCAGCCAAGUCGCGUGAGGGAAGACGGUCCUAUGGAUUGUAAACCUCUUUUGUCGGGGAGCAAAAGACGCCACGUGUGGCGUUCCGAGAGUACCCGAAGAAAAAGCAUCGGCUAACUCCGUGCCAGCAGCCGCGGUAAUACGGAGGAUGCGAGCGUUAUCCGGAUUUAUUGGGUUUAAAGGGUGCGCAGGCGGAAGAUCAAGUCAGCGGUAAAAUUGAGAGGCUCAACCUCUUCGAGCCGUUGAAACUGGGUUGCUUGAGUGAGCGAGAAGUAUGCGGAAUGCGUGGUGUAGCGGUGAAAUGCAUAGAUAUCACGCAGAACUCCGAUUGCGAAGGCAGCAUACCGGCGCUCAACUGACGCUCAUGCACGAAAGUGUGGGUAUCGAACAGGAUUAGAUACCCUUGUAGUC